UACGUAUGUCGCAAGCGUUAUCCGGAAUUAUUGGGCAUAAAGGGCAUCUAGGCGGCCAGACAAGUCUGGGGUGAAAACUUGCGGCUCAACCGCAAGCCUGCCCUGGAAACUGUCUGGCUAGAGUGCUGGAGAGGUGGACGGAACUGCACGAGUAGAGGUGAAAUUCGUAGAUAUGUGCAGGAAUGCCGAUGAUGAAGAUAGUUCACUGGACGGCAACUGACGCUGAAGUGCGAAAGCCGGGGGAGCGAACAGG
RNAcentral lists this ribosomal RNA (253 nucleotides) under uncultured bacterium. Its description in RNAcentral is "partial 16S ribosomal RNA". It matches the Rfam family "Bacterial small subunit ribosomal RNA", at positions 524 to 776 of the family's 1533-position model. The record is from RNAcentral.